GUUUAAACAUCAAAAUCGAUAAGUUAUUUUAAAAUUUUCUUUUUAUUAUGACAGAUCGUCAAAUUGAUAUACUUGCUUUUUUAAUUGUACUCUGGUUAAUUCACGAAAUUUCAAGAGUUACAAAUAAAAUUAAAUAAUACUGAAGGAUUCUUUUCGAAAACUAAAACCAAAUUGAUCACACUUGUACCUCAACAUUCUUGCUAGCUGCGGUGGACCACAAUAAAAUACCGUCACCUUUCCUUUUUUUCGUUCCUGGAGCUGUUUGAAGACCUUGUCCCAGUUUGGACGCCCCGCAUUGGUCCUAGUCUUCAAUCCAGUAAUGAGAUCCCUUUUUUCCUGGAUUUAAUAAGAAUUAACGAGAUCCAUGGCAAGUUGAAGACCAAUUGCUUUCAUAUCAUUUUUCUGUAAUGCACUUGUAAUGUACAUGUGCAUUUCAAGGAAUCGUUCCAUAGUAGCUCCAAGUUCGGCUUGCUCUAUUUCAAGUUGUGAGAGCAAGUUAAC
Leptopilina boulardi is the source of this 501-nucleotide long non-coding RNA. RefSeq lists it as uncharacterized. The record is from RefSeq and is a predicted model, not a curated record. The transcript has 3 exons. NCBI's taxonomy places the organism in Eukaryota, Metazoa, Arthropoda, Insecta, Hymenoptera, Figitidae.